This 381-nucleotide transfer-messenger RNA is filed under the name Mycoplasmopsis synoviae. It matches the Rfam family "transfer-messenger RNA". From Rfam's summary of the family: Bacterial tmRNA, also known as 10Sa RNA or SsrA, is named for its dual tRNA and mRNA-like properties. Its role is to liberate the mRNA from a stalled ribosome. RNAcentral also lists the same sequence under 1 other name. Lineage: Bacteria; Bacillati; Mycoplasmatota; Mycoplasmoidales; Metamycoplasmataceae. The record is from RNAcentral.
GGGGAUGUACCGGAUUCGCCAUAUUUAGAGAAAAUUACAUUGCAGUAGUUUGGCAGACUAUAAUGCCCUAGGCUUUCUUAAACGGAAACAAACAAUCACAAGUAGAAGAAGUAACUCAAGAGUUUUCUCCUUCUUUAUACACAUUUAAUUCAAAUCUAGCAUACGCAUAGUUUUUGCAUCUAGUUGUUUUAUUAUUUGCCUUAGUAAUAAAAUAGGUUUAAAGGCUCGCAUUAAGUAAUUAAUUUAGGCUGCUUAAUGUUAAAUAUUUUCCUAAAUAAAAGUUAAUUCACUAUUGCUUAUUAUUUAACUUAAUAAGCUAAACUGUAGACGUGUAAUUGGAUUUAAGUGUGCACAGGGGUUCAACUCCCCUCAUCUCCACCA